RNAcentral lists this ribosomal RNA (325 nucleotides) under Bradyrhizobium japonicum. RNAcentral describes it as "bacterial LSU rRNA". It matches the Rfam family "Bacterial large subunit ribosomal RNA", at positions 1 to 210 of the family's 2925-position model. The record is from RNAcentral. Lineage: Bacteria; Pseudomonadati; Pseudomonadota; Alphaproteobacteria; Hyphomicrobiales; Nitrobacteraceae.
AAUCAAGUGCCUUAAGGGUGUUCGGUGGAUGCCUUGGCGCUGAGAGGCGAUGAAGGACGUGCUACGCUGCGAUAAGCCGUGGGGAGCUGCGAAGAAGCUUUGAUCCAUGGAUUUCCGAAUGGGGAAACCCACCUUCGAUAGCCGGAACUCCAAGACCUUGGUCGAAAGACAUCGGGGUUGGGUUCGAUCAGAUGAUGAGAGAUAAUCAAACCUUUAGAUCUUGACCGUGAAGGUUUUGGAUUUCCGGUUAUCAAGAGAAGGUAUGAGACUUCUGAAUACAUAGGAGGUUUCAAGCAAACCCAGGGAACUGAAACAUCUAAGUACC